GGAAAUAGCUUGCUAUUUUGCUGACGAGUGGCGCACGGGUGCGUAACGCGUAUACAAUCUACCUCUUGCUGAGGGAUAGCCCAGAGAAAUUUGGAUUAAUACCUCAUGGUAUUAUAGAUAGGCAUCUAUUUAUAAUUAAAGGUUACGGCGAGAGAUGAGUAUGCGUCCCAUUAGCUAGUUGGCGAGGUAACGGCUCACCAAGGCAACGAUGGGUAGGGGUCCUGAGAGGGAGAUCCCCCACACUGGUACUGAGACACGGACCAGACUCCUACGGGAGGCAGCAGUGAGGAAUAUUGGACAAUGGGCGGGAGCCUGAUCCAGCCAUGCCGCGUGCAGGAAGACUGCCCUAUGGGUUGUAAACUGCUUUUAUACAGGAAGAAUAAGCCUUACGUGUAAGGUGAUGACGGUACUGUAAGAAUAAGGACCGGCUAACUCCGUGCCAGCAGCCGCGGUAAU
RNAcentral lists this ribosomal RNA (456 nucleotides) under uncultured Flavobacterium sp. Its description in RNAcentral is "bacterial SSU rRNA". It matches the Rfam family "Bacterial small subunit ribosomal RNA", at positions 71 to 524 of the family's 1533-position model. The record is from RNAcentral. Lineage: Bacteria; Pseudomonadati; Bacteroidota; Flavobacteriia; Flavobacteriales; Flavobacteriaceae.